Molecule: transfer RNA, 76 nt
Filed under: Clostridiaceae bacterium
Lineage: Bacteria; Bacillati; Bacillota; Clostridia; Eubacteriales; Clostridiaceae
Also listed under: 1 other name
Description: tRNA-Gln
Rfam family: tRNA
About the family: Transfer RNA (tRNA) molecules are approximately 80 nucleotides in length. Their secondary structure includes four short double-helical elements and three loops (D, anti-codon, and T loops).
Source: RNAcentral
UGCCCAGUGGCCAAAUUGGUAAGGCACCUGACUCUGGAUCAGGGAGGUGUAGGUUCGAGUCCUGCCUGGGCAGCCA